This 253-nucleotide ribosomal RNA is filed under the name uncultured bacterium. Its description in RNAcentral is "partial 16S ribosomal RNA". It matches the Rfam family "Bacterial small subunit ribosomal RNA", at positions 524 to 776 of the family's 1533-position model. The record is from RNAcentral.
UACGUAGGGGGCAAGCGUUGUCCGGAUUUAUUGGGCGUAAAGAGCGUGUAGGCGGCCGUACAGGUCAGCUGUGAAAACUCGAGGCUCAACCUCGAGACGUCGGUUGAAACCGUACGGCUAGAGUCCGGAAGAGGAGAGUGGAAUUCCCGGUGUAGCGGUGAAAUGCGCAGAUAUCGGGAAGAACACCCAUGGCGAAGGCAGCUCUCUGGGACGGUACUGACGCUGAGACGCGAAAGCGUGGGGAGCGAACAGG